AGAGCGCAGGGAGGAUGCCUUGGCAUCAGGAGCCGAUGAAGGACGCGGUAAGCUGCGAAAAGCUCCGGGGAGUGGCAAGCACACAUUGAUCCGGAGAUGUCCGAAUGGAGCAAUCCACAUGAGUGAAGCUCAUGUAUCAUAUACUGAAUAAAUAGGUAUAUGAGGGGAACCGUCUGAACUGAAACAUCUAAGUAGGACGAGGAAAAGAAAUCAACCGAGAUUCCGCUAGUAGUGGCGAGCGAACGCGGAAGAGGCUAAACCAGAGUCAGCAAUGACUUUGGGGUUUGGACUGCAUUUAGUAUCAAUGAGGUCUAGUCGAAGUACAUGGGAAGGUACAUCGAAGAGGGUGAGAAUCCCGUAGACGAAAGAUCAAGUUGGCGAGCAGUAUCCAGAGUACCGCCGGACACGUGAAACCCGGUGGGAACAUGGGGGGACCAUCCUCCAAGCCUAAAUACUACCUGAUGACCGAUAGCGCAUAGUACUGUGAAGGAAAGGUGAAAAGAACCCCGGGAGGGGAGUGAAAGAGAGCCUGAAACCCUGUGCUUACAAGCACACAGAGCACGUCAAAGUGUGAUGUGGUACCUAUUGUAGAAUGGUCCGGCGAGUUAUUUUAUGCAGCGAGGUUAAGGACUUAAGGUCUGUAGCCGAAGUGAAAGCGAGUGUUAAUAGCACGAAACAGUUGCAUGCAAUAGACCCGAAACCGGGUGACCUAUCCAUGUCCAGGCUGAAGUGAGGGUAAAACCUCAUGGAGGGCCGAACCGACUCCCGUUGAAAUGGUAGCGGAUGAGGUGUGGAUAGCGGAGAAAUUCCAAUCGAACCCGGAUAUAGCUGGUUCUCCCCGAAACCGUUUUAGGACGGGCCUCGUGUGAAGAUUAUCGGAGGUAAAGCACUGAAUAGCCUAGGGGGCGAGAGCCUACCGAAGCUUAUCAAACUCUGAAUGCCGAAUAAUCGUUUCACGGGAGUCAGACUGUGUGAGAUAAGUUUCAUAGUCAAAAGGGAAACAGCCCAGACCCACAGCUAAGGUCCCAAAGUGUAUUUAAGUGGAAAACGAUGUGAAGUUGCGUAGACAACCAGGAUGUUGGCUUAGAAGCAGCCACUCAUUAAAAGAGUGCGUAAUAGCUCACUGGUCGAGUGACUUUGCGCGGAAAAUUUAACGGGGCUAAAAUACACACCGAAGCUUGGGCUUGACGCUUUUGCGUCAGGGGUAGGGGAGCGUCGUGUAAGGGGCGAAGUCGUAUCGUAAGGGACGGUGGACUUUACACGAGUGAGAAUGCCGGAAUGAGUAGCGAGAAUUAUGUGAGAAUCAUAAUGGUCGAAAGCCUAAGGUUUUUGGAGGAAGGUUCGUCCGCUCCAAGUAAGCCGGGAGCUAAGGUCAGGCGGAAACGCGUAGCCGAUGCACAUACGGUUGAAAUUCCGUAGCCUCAGAAAGAUUUAAGCAGAGGGACACUUUGAAAGGACUGUAGCCGGGUGUUGGUUACCCCGGUCGUAAGGGAACGAAAUUAAGUAGUGAAGGCAGUCUGGACGGAGGCGAGAAAAGCUCUGUGUAUAUCUGAUGAGCCCGUACCGCAAACCGACACAGGUAGGUGGGAUGAGAAUUCUAAGACCAACGGGAGAAGGGUAGUUAAGGAACUCGGCAAAUUGUCCCCGUAACUUCGGAAUAAGGGGAGCCUGCGAAAGCAGGCCGCAGAGAAUUGGCCCAGGCGACUGUUUAUCAAAAACACAGCUCUAUGCUAAAUCGAAAGAUGACGUAUAUGGGGUGACACCUGCCCGGUGCUGGAAGGUUAAGAGGAGAUGUGAGAGCAUCGAAUUGAAGCCCCAGUAAACGGCGGCCGUAACUAUAACGGUCCUAAGGUAGCGAAAUUCCUUGUCAGGUAAGUUCUGACCCGCACGAAUGGCGUAAUGAUUUGGGCACUGUCUCAACAGCCCGCCCGGCGAAAUUGUAGUACCGGUGAAGAUGCCGGUUACCCGCGACUAGACGGAAAGACCCCAUGGAGCUUUACUGUAGCUUAAUAUUGGAUUUCGGCAGUUCAUGUACAGGAUAGGUGGGAGACUAUGAAACACGGGCGUCAGCUUGUGCGGAGUCGUCCUUGGGAUACCACUCUUGGAUUGCUGGAAUUCUAACCUGCGGCCCUGAAUCGGGUCGGGGGACAUUGUUAGGUGGGCAGUUUGACUGGGGCGGUCGCCUCCAAAAGAGUAACGGAGGCGCUCAAAGGUUGGCUCAGCA
This 2224-nucleotide ribosomal RNA is filed under the name human metagenome. Its description in RNAcentral is "bacterial LSU rRNA". It matches the Rfam family "Bacterial large subunit ribosomal RNA", at positions 14 to 2327 of the family's 2925-position model. The record is from RNAcentral.